Molecule: ribosomal RNA, 3110 nt
Filed under: Rotylenchulus reniformis
Lineage: Eukaryota; Metazoa; Nematoda; Chromadorea; Rhabditida; Hoplolaimidae
Description: eukaryotic LSU rRNA
Rfam family: Eukaryotic large subunit ribosomal RNA (bases 1788-3109)
Source: RNAcentral
AGCGAGUCGCCGGGUCCAUCGGACUCCGGAUCAACGCGCGGAAAAGCGCCUCUGUGAACACCCAAGGUCAGAGCGAGUCCGAGGAGGCGGUGCUUCCCCAACUCGGCGCUCGUGACAGCUACAAGUAUCUCGGAGUCGAAGAGAGAAUCGGCGUGUCGUUCGGCGACGCCUGGGAUCGGGUUAAAGCCAGCAUGACAGAGAAAUUGAGGAAAAUGCUACGGACCGAAAGCACUUUCGGGGAACUACGUGCAGCCAUACGCACUGUAGUGACACCUGUGGCAAAGUACCUCUUCCUUAAUGUCAUUGCGGGCGGUCCAGCUUGGACUAGCCUUAGAGACCAGGCGGCCAAUUACGACAAAUUUGUCCGUAAACUCUUGUGUGAAUCGAAUGGCGAUGAUUGUGGGUGGCGUUUUGCCGCCUGCAGUCGAGCGCGCUUGUAUCUGAAGCCAGCAGACGGGGGACUUGGUUGGGCGUCCAUUGAGGAUGGCCUGAUCGAGUCACUAGUCUACUGUUGGGCGUACAUGCAAUGUACCCCUGGGCUUGGGGUCGCGCGCGAGUUGUUUGGUUCUGCGGGAAGAUCGGGCAUUGCCGAAAGUGUGUCCAAGGGGAUGAGGGUGCUUGUCCUGAAACCCCUGGGACUGCUCUCCGAAGACUCGGACCAGCGAGUGAUGGUUCCUGACUGUCCGGCCCGUGGGUUCUCCAUAGGUGAUAAGUACUAUGGGAACCCAACACUUGGUGCCAGAGCGCUGAUGAAAAUUGUGCGUGAAGAACGCAACAACCAGCGCCUCGCCGAGUGGAAAGGGCUUGAGAUGGCAGGAAGCGUUGCGAACCGACCGGAGCUCGACCAAGCGCACAGUUAUCAUUGGCUCAAAAAGGCCAACGUAGGGAGACGGGAGUUUCGGGAUUGCAUUGCGGCGCAGGAAGGUCAGCUGAAGGCGGUCGAGUUGUUCGAUCCGAAACGACCGGCAAGAGAGAAGGAGUGUCGGAGGUGUCAUGCUGGGAGGGAGACCGAGCAGCACAUCCUGACGGGGUGUCCUUGGUCCCGGACCGGCUUGAUGCUGGAACGACACAACAGGGUGGUUCGUCAGAUCCACACCUAUCUCUGCCGGAAAUUCGAUCUGCCUGUGGCUCACCACACCUUGCCGCUGCACGCAGUCCUGGAAAACGACCGUGCAAAACUCAUUCAUGACGUACCAUUGUUCACGCCGAAUGUCCGAUCGACUCAAGACGAUGAAGGUCUUGUCCAACAUCACGGCCUGCGAAGCAACCGCCCGGAUCUGGUUGUCUUCGACAAGAAGGCCCGAAGCAUCAAUGUUAUCGAAGUGUCUGUGCCAUGGCGUGAGAACCUGGUCACUCAGGAACUCAUCAAGUGGCGCAAAUACGCGAUGAACUCAGAGAUUGAGCCCUUGGAAUUGGCCUCAAAGGAGGUGCCCGGGCCGAAUCUCAGAGCGCAGUUGGGGGAACUGUACGGCGCUGCCUACCCUGGUGGUGUCACGGUGACCCCGAUUGUGAUUGGUGCUCUCGGAGAAGUGUUGCCGAAUGUGAUGGACAGACUGAAGGAGAUAGGUGCCGACGGAAAGCGAAAGGCACCAGAUCUCUUGGAGUCGAUGCAGAGGGCAGCAUUGAUUGGCUCGGGUCGCCUCAUCCGAGCACAUCUCUGCCUUCCGAGGACUGGCGUGUGAACAAUCCGCUGAGCUGCAAAGGAAUCACAAGACUGAAGCUACAGCUGGAAGUCUGUGUGAUGACUUAAAGGGUUACCGUCCUUAGGGUGCUUGCGCCCAAGGCAUUCGUGAGUAGUAGAAGAGGGCAGUGCGAACGGUUUUUGACUUUCGGGAAAAGAACUUUUGCAUUGCGCAAUGGCGACCAUGGUGCCAUUGCUAUUUGGUCCUGGUCCCACUCCUGGGGAGUAGGCGGGUUCGCUUAACCCGUCUGAGAUCCAGACCACCCGUCACUGUUAAGAUUCCGGUGACGGACUCUUCUUAAGUGAUGGGACGCGCACGAAUGGAUCAACGAGAUUCCCACUGUCCCUAUCUACUAUCUAGCGAAACCACAGCCAAGGGAACGGGCUUGGCAAAUUUAGCGGGGAAAGAAGACCCUGUUGAGCUUGACUCUAGUCUGACUUUGUGAAGAAUCAUGAGAGGUGUAGCAUAAGUGGGAGCCGCAAGGCGCCAGUGAAAUACCACUACUUUCAUCGAUUCCUUACUUAAUCGGUAAAACGGGAGUGCGCCCGCAUGGGUGUCCAUUUUGGUGUUAAGGCGGGCCACCCGGUGGCCCGUCGACCCGCGCCGAUGACAGUGUCAGGCGGGGAGUUUGACUGGGGCGGUACAUCUGUCAAAGCGUAACGCAGGUGUCCUAAGGCGAGCUCAGAGAGGACGGAAACCUCUCGUAGAGCAAAAAGGCAAAUGCUUACUUGAUCCUGAUUUUCAGUACGAAUACGGACCGCGAAAGCGUGGCUUAUCGAUCCUUUUGAAUUGUAAAGUUUCCAGCAAGAGGUGUCAGAAAAGUUACCACAGGGAUAACUGGCUUGUGGCGGCCAAGCGUCCAUAGCGACGUCGCUUUUUGAUCCUUCGAUGUCGGCUCUUCCUAUCAUUGCGAAGCAGAAUUCGCCAAGCGUUGGAUUGUUCACCCACCAAUAGGGAACGUGAGCUGGGUUUAGACCGUCGUGAGACAGGUUAGUUUUACCCUACUAAAGACCGGUUGCUAUGAUAGUAAUCCUGCUUAGUACGAGAGGAACCGCAGGUUCAGACAUUUGGUUCAUGUGCUUGGUCGAUAGACCAAUGGUGCGAAGCUACCAUCUGAGGGAUUAUGACUGAACGCCUCUAAGUCAGAAUCCCGCCUAGGCAAGAUAGCAAUACCAUUGCUCCCCGGUGUCGGGAGGCACUCUGUAUGCCCUCUUCUCUGAGGUGCAGCCCAAAUGCCCCAGCAUCUGGCCCGAUGCGAGCGCUUAGUUGUGCUCGCAUUGCCAUAGCCGUAGCACUCGUGUGCCAUGGUGGAACGUCGGGGCGCAAAAUCACUUGUAUACGACUUGACUACUGGUCAGGGGGUUGUUAGCAGUAGAGCAGCUUUUAUACUGCGAUCUGUUGAGACUUAGCCCUUGAUCGGAUGAUUUG